CUGGGAGAUGUGCCUCCCUGCUCUGGGCUCCCCUGGGCAGGAGGAGUGCUUGUCCUGCUCUCAUCUAAUCCCUGCAGCCAGCAGCAGGAGGUUCAGUGGGUUGGGAUGGGAUGACCAUGGCUUGUGGGCUCAGGGUUCAGGCUGUACUUGAGGAACAGCAGUCUGGGUUCUGACUUUUAUGUCAAAAUUUCUUAUAGAUUUUUACCCAAUGAAUAUUUGUUGGUUUUGCAGUGGAAAUAUUCUCAGUGUAGACUGAACUUUAGGAACUUCAGAAAAAUUGGUCACUCCUUUAUUAAAUGUUACUGUAGCUCACAGACCUAAUGUAGCUAUAUCUAUCUAUAAAUAUGGAUGUAGUAUAUUCACUUUGCUCUCAUGUAACAGGUUACUCAUGUAUUAAUAAUUACUAACAGCACAGAUCUUAGAUCCUUCUGGGUGGCGAGUGUCCAAAAUUUCUGCAGUUUGAUCCCAUCUUCAGGCUGCAAAUGCUUUGAUCCUACAUUACAAAAACAGGCUUGAAGUUGUUCAAGAGACAUCCAGUAUUUCAAAGCCAGGUUUCUUAAUUUGACACUGCUUUAAAACUUCACUGCUAAGCAGAGCCAGUCUCUGCCUCCCUUGCUAAGGGCUGGCAUUGUGGGUGUGCACCUCAAAGCCUAAAGCAACUUCAUGUUGAAUUCAGCUUCACUCUGUCAUUUGCAUUCAGCACUUUGCAGCCAUAUCUGGAUCUUUUAUGGCAGAUUUUUUUUUUCCUCUUUUCAAUUCUAAACCAAUUUAAAGCCUUUUAAUGGCAGUAAGUGUACACCUGAUCUGCCAUUUUCAAGCUGCAAUUUAUGUUGUCUCGCAGCAGCAUUAAUUCCAACACCUGAGGCGGGAGAACGGCUUACUGCCGUCAGACUGAUGAGCAGCAAUGGAUCUGUGCUAUUUAAUUAGGAGCAGCAGCUGCUUCCCACAGAGCUGCUCACACACUGCCCAGAGGCAGCCCAAGCAUCAGCUGCCCUGCAGUGCAUGGGCCAGCCCCGUCCCUGCUUCCUACCCACCCACAGUAGGUGAAGAUCCCUCUGAGUGGGGAGAGCAGCCUGGCACAGCGCUCCUCUGGUGCUGCCCUAGGUACAAAUCUGUCAGAUCAACCUCUAGGUAUCAACCCCCAUCAUUUUCGAACUGAGGUUGAGUGUAAACUUGUUCUGGGGACCCUAAAGAUAACAUAGCACUGAGUAGAGUAAAAGAACCAAGCCCGUAUUUUCCUUCCUGUAGGAGAGCACUGCUGGGUUUUGUGCUACAAGUUGCUCUGGGUUUGAGGAAGACUUUUGGCAGUCCUGGUCAAACAUCAAGCCCUGCAUCCUGGAAGCCAGGAGCCAGGCUGUGUUUGCAGGGUAGGGAUUUCUGCUCAGACAAGCAGGGAGCCAGGGAAUGACUGAGAGAUUACAGUGAAUUAAAGCUCCUCAUCCAGCACUGUAGCCUAAAGGUCUCUUAAGAAAACCGCUGCUGCUGUGGAAGGACGGAAGAGGAGGUGGGAGAGCACCGUGCACUGCGGUGUCUGCCUGGCAGAGGGAUGGAGCUGUGCAGCCGCUGUCAUGCCUGGCUGAGCAGGGCUCCUGAGUGGUGAGUG
Long non-coding RNA from Strigops habroptila (Kakapo), 1603 nucleotides. RefSeq lists it as uncharacterized. The record is from RefSeq and is a predicted model, not a curated record. The transcript has 3 exons. NCBI's taxonomy places the organism in Eukaryota, Metazoa, Chordata, Aves, Psittaciformes, Psittacidae.